RNAcentral lists this ribosomal RNA (479 nucleotides) under uncultured bacterium. RNAcentral describes it as "partial 16S ribosomal RNA". It matches the Rfam family "Bacterial small subunit ribosomal RNA", at positions 28 to 507 of the family's 1533-position model. The record is from RNAcentral.
GAUGAACGCUGGCGGCGUGCUUAGCACAUGCAAGUCGAACGAAGCACUUAAGAUUGCUUCUUCGGAUGACGUCUUUUGUGACUUAGUGGCGGACGGGUGAGUAACGCGUGGGUAACCUGCCUCACACAGGGGGAUAACAGUUAGAAAUGACUGCUAAUACCGCAUAACCCGAUAGGAUCGCAUGAUCCAGACGGAAAAGAUUUAUCGGUGUGAGAUGGACCCGCGUCUGAUUAGCUAGUUGGUGAGGUAACGGCCCACCAAGGCGACGAUCAGUAGCCGGCCUGAGAGGGUGAACGGCCACAUUGGGACUGAGACACGGCCAAAACUCCUACGGGAGGCAGCAGUGGGGAAUAUUGCACAAUGGGGGAAACCCUGAUGCAGCGACGCCGCGUGAGUGAAGAAGUAUUUCGGUAUGUAAAGCUCUAUCAGCAGGGAAGAAAAUGACGGUACCUGACUAAGAAGCCCCGGCUAACUACGUG